RNAcentral lists this long non-coding RNA (301 nucleotides) under Carica papaya (papaya). RNAcentral's name for it is "long non-coding RNA (CPAP_LNC014956)". Lineage: Eukaryota; Viridiplantae; Streptophyta; Magnoliopsida; Brassicales; Caricaceae. The record is from RNAcentral.
UGCUACACACAAAGCUCAUUAUGACUUUUUAUCUAUUGGCUAAUAUGGACUCCUAACUACUAUUGUGGUGACACUAACAAUAAUUUACAACUUGCUCAACCACAACAAAUUUGCAGCUCACUAUACCAUAACUGAUUUGUGGCUCACCACACCAUAGCAUAACCUAUGACCACGAUCGUACCAACCACUGUGGUCUUAAAGACUAUGACCACGACCCUACUUCACCAUAGUGGUCUUAGAAUAUCAUACGCGCUUUCACGUGGUCAUCCAUAGGGAGUGAUCAUCUCACGUCUUUCUAAAU